RNAcentral lists this long non-coding RNA (1079 nucleotides) under Aotus nancymaae (Ma's night monkey). RNAcentral's name for it is "lncRNA (ENSANAG00000038817.1)". Lineage: Eukaryota; Metazoa; Chordata; Mammalia; Primates; Aotidae. The record is from RNAcentral.
CUGGCGGCGGCUGCCCGGGGGAACGGCUGCGAACCAAUGAGUGCAAGAGAGGACUCGGCUGCGACUGCCCCCUGCCCGGCUUCACAUCACUCACGGACAGAGGGACAAAGACAGGAAGAGAGAGAGAGAGAGAGAGAGAGAGAGAAAGAGAGAGCGCGAGAGCAAGAGAGAGAGGAAAGCACAGGGUCACAGGAAGACUGACGGGCAAAGAUACAGUUAUAGACCUAUGAACAGAGCCGCACGCCAAACAGGGACAAACCGUUGAGGGGAUGGACCCGGGCCGUCCCUACCUGAUGACUGUUGGUCUUGACUAUGUGCCUCACAUUCAGAGUCUUUUCAGGUCCCCUCUGCAGAAGCCUGGGCACUGGCCGAGAGGUGGGCUGGGGGCCGGAGGGGACGGAGCAGUGUGCUCAGUUGGGAGUCUGGAGCCCUGGGCCUCAAGUCACAAUGACAGCGGCAGUAACAUCGCAAAGGGUAAUUUUCUGUCCUCCCUGCGCCCACUUGAGAGACGGGAGGAAGAGAACCCUCUCAUCAUUUUUGGCUUCCUGGAGAUGGUCUCCUCCCUGCAGGUGGGAGGGUCCCGCCGGGCUCUGCUGAGCUAGAGGGAAAGUGGGCUGGGCUUGCUCACUGUCCAGGCUCCUGAAAUAGCGCCCUUUCCCGGAAUCGGCUUCUCUGGUUCCUUAGACCCUUGGCUCAGAACCUUACUCUGAAUCAGAAGGGAAAGGAGCACCCUCGAGGGCCCCAAUAGGACCAUUUGGAAAGAAAGGAAAAGGAUGACAAACCAGCUGGGCCUCUUUAAAGGAUCCCCACCUGGGAGGGGACAGGGAUGAAAAUAGAAGCAAGCAGGCAGUUGGGGGAGGUUUAGUGGGCUGGUGGGAUAAGUCUGCUGAUUAUUAAAGAGCAAAUUACCUGGGUCUAAUUAUGCACGCAUAAGCAGCACAUUUCCUCCUAAUACAGAUCGGAAGUGGCUCAGUUUCAGUCACAAAGAGUAGGAAAGGCUGAUAGAAAUAAAAGAUAAAUCUCAAAUGUGAGGGACGCCCCCCGCCCACACCACCACUGCCCUGUGUCUUUUUCUCCCU